GAUGAACGCUGGCGGCGUGCCUAAUACAUGCAAGUCGAGCGAACAGACCAGGAGCUUGCUCCUCUGACGUUAGCGGCGGACGGGUGAGUAACACGUGGAUAACCUACCUAUAAGACUGGGAUAACUUCGGGAAACCGGAGCUAAUACCGGAUAAUAUAUUAAACCGCAUGGUUCAAUAGUGAAAGACGGUUUUGCUUUCACUUAUAGAUGGAUCCGCGCCGCAUUAGCUAGUUGGUAAGGUAACGGCUUACCAAGGCGACGAUGCGUAGCCGACCUGAGAGGGUGAUCGGCCACACUGGAACUGAGACACGGUCCAGACUCCUACGGGAGGCAGCAGUAGGGAAUCUUCCGCAAUGGGCGAAAGCCUGACGGAGCAACGCCGCGUGAGUGAUGAAGGUCUUCGGAUCGUAAAACUCUGUUAUUAGGGAAGAACAAAUGUGUAAGUAACUAUGCACGUCUUGACGGUACCUAAUCAGAAAGCCACGGCUAACUACGUG
RNAcentral lists this ribosomal RNA (497 nucleotides) under uncultured bacterium. RNAcentral describes it as "partial 16S ribosomal RNA". It matches the Rfam family "Bacterial small subunit ribosomal RNA", at positions 28 to 507 of the family's 1533-position model. The record is from RNAcentral.